RNAcentral lists this ribosomal RNA (941 nucleotides) under Cordyceps cicadae. Its description in RNAcentral is "SSU rRNA". It matches the Rfam family "Eukaryotic small subunit ribosomal RNA", at positions 68 to 1021 of the family's 1831-position model. Lineage: Eukaryota; Fungi; Ascomycota; Sordariomycetes; Hypocreales; Cordycipitaceae. The record is from RNAcentral.
UGCCAGUUAUAAGCGAACUGCGAAUGGCUCAUUAUAUAAGUUAUCGUUUAUUUGAUAGUACCUUACUACUUGGAUAACCGUGGUAAUUCUAGAGCUAAUACAUGCUAAAAAUCCCGACUUCGGAAGGGAUGUAUUUAUUAGAUUAAAAACCAAUGCCCUCUGGGCUCCUUGGUGAUUCAUGAUAACUCUUCGAAUCGCACGGCCUUGCGCCGGCGAUGGUUCAUUCAAAUUUCUUCCCUAUCAACUUUCGAUGUUUGGGUAUUGGCCAAACAUGGUUGCAACGGGUAACGGAGGGUUAGGGCUCGACCCCGGAGAAGGAGCCUGAGAAACGGCUACUACAUCCAAGGAAGGCAGCAGGCGCGCAAAUUACCCAAUCCCGAUUCGGGGAGGUAGUGACAAUAAAUACUGAUACAGGGCUCUUUUGGGUCUUGUAAUUGGAAUGAGUACAAUUUAAAUCUCUUAACGAGGAACAAUUGGAGGGCAAGUCUGGUGCCAGCAGCCGCGGUAAUUCCAGCUCCAAUAGCGUAUAUUAAAGUUGUUGUGGUUAAAAAGCUCGUAGUUGAACCUUGGGCCUGGCUGGCCGGUCCGCCUCACCGCGUGCACUGGUCCGGCCGGGCCUUUCCCUCUGUGGAACCCCAUGCCCUUCACUGGGCGUGGCGGGGAAACAGGACGUUUACUUUGAAAAAAUUAGAGUGCUCCAGGCAGGCCUAUGCUCGAAUACAUUAGCAUGGAAUAAUGAAAUAGGACGCGUGGUUCUAUUUUGUUGGUUUCUAGGACCGCCGUAAUGAUUAAUAGGGACAGUCGGGGGCAUCAGUAUUCAAUUGUCAGAGGUGAAAUUCUUGGAUUUAUUGAAGACUAACUACUGCGAAAGCAUUUGCCAAGGAUGUUUUCAUUAAUCAGGAACGAAAGUUAGGGGAUCGAAGACGAUCAGAUACCGUCGU